RNAcentral lists this ribosomal RNA (465 nucleotides) under uncultured bacterium. RNAcentral describes it as "partial 16S ribosomal RNA". It matches the Rfam family "Bacterial small subunit ribosomal RNA", at positions 28 to 507 of the family's 1533-position model. The record is from RNAcentral.
GACGAACGCUGGCGGCGUGCUUAACACAUGCAAGUCGUACGGUAAGGCCCUUUCGGGGGUACACGAGUGGCGAACGGGUGAGUAACACGUGAGUAACCUGCCCACAACUUUGGGAUAACGCUAGGAAACUGGUGCUAAUACUGGAUAUGUGCUCCUGCUGCAUGGUGGGGGUUGGAAAGCUCCGGCGGUUGUGGAUGGACUCGCGGCCUAUCAGCUUGUUGGUGGGGUAGUGGCCUACCAAGGCGGCGACGGGUAGCCGGCCUGAGAGGGUGACCGGCCACAUUGGGACUGAGAUAAGGCACAGACGCCUACGGGAGGCAGCAGUGGGGAAUAUUGCACCAUGGGCGCCAGCCGGAUGAAGCAAGGCCGCGUGCGGGAUGACGGCCUUCGGGUUGUAAAACGCUUUCAGCAGGGACGAAGCUUUUUGUGACGGUACCUGCAGAAGAAGCACCGGCUAACUACGUG